AAGCGGGAGCGACUUAGCGGCGGACGGGUGAGUAACGCGUGGGUAACCUGCCCCAUACCGGGGGAUAACGGUUAGAAAUGACCGCUAAUACCGCUUAAGCGCACGAGGCCGCAUGGCCGCGCGCGAAAAACUCCGGUGGUAUGGGAUGGGCCCGCGUCUGAUUAGCUAGUUGGCGGGGUAAAGGCCCACCAAGGCGACGAUCAGUAGCCGACCUGAGAGGGUGGCCGGCCACAUUGGGACUGAGACACGGCCCAAACUCCUACGGGAGGCAGCAG
Molecule: ribosomal RNA, 275 nt
Filed under: uncultured bacterium
Lineage: Bacteria
Description: partial 16S ribosomal RNA
Rfam family: Bacterial small subunit ribosomal RNA
Source: RNAcentral